CACUGCGUAGCUCAAUUGGCUAGAGCACUCCGUUUGGGACGGAGAGGUUGAAGGUUCGAGUCCUUCUGUGGUGACCA
Molecule: transfer RNA, 77 nt
Filed under: Serratia phage vB_SmaM-Kashira
Lineage: Duplodnaviria; Heunggongvirae; Uroviricota; Caudoviricetes
Description: tRNA-Pro
Rfam family: tRNA
About the family: Transfer RNA (tRNA) molecules are approximately 80 nucleotides in length. Their secondary structure includes four short double-helical elements and three loops (D, anti-codon, and T loops).
Source: RNAcentral